RNAcentral lists this ribosomal RNA (253 nucleotides) under uncultured bacterium. Its description in RNAcentral is "partial 16S ribosomal RNA". It matches the Rfam family "Bacterial small subunit ribosomal RNA", at positions 524 to 776 of the family's 1533-position model. The record is from RNAcentral.
UACGAAGGGGGCUAGCGUUGCUCGGAAUCACUGGGCGUAAAGCGCACGUAGGCGGAUCUUUAAGUCAGGGGUGAAAUCCCGGAGCUCAACUCCGGAACUGCCUUUGAUACUGGGGAUCUUGAGUUCGAGAGAGGUGAGUGGAACUGCGAGUGUAGAGGUGAAAUUCGUAGAUAUUCGCAAGAACACCAGUGGCGAAGGCGGCUCACUGGCUCGAUACUGACGCUGAGGUGCGAAAGCGUGGGGAGCGAACAGG